This 285-nucleotide unclassified non-coding RNA is filed under the name uncultured Chaetothyriales. Its description in RNAcentral is "sequence contains 5.8S rRNA gene, ITS2, 28S rRNA gene". The stretch from base 1 to 52 matches the Rfam family "5.8S ribosomal RNA", at positions 103 to 154 of the family's 154-position model. The record is from RNAcentral. Lineage: Eukaryota; Fungi; Ascomycota; Eurotiomycetes; Chaetothyriales.
AACGCACAUUGCGCCCAUUGGUAUUCCGAUGGGCAUGCCUGUUCGAGCGUCAUUAUCCUCCCUCAAACCUCGGGUUUGGUGUUGGGCCAGAGUUGUGCUCCCGGCGUCGUCCGGUGACCAACUGGUCUCAAAGACAAUGACGGCGUCCGUGGGACCCUCUUCGCAACGAGCUUCUCGGAGCACGCGUUGAGUCCAGGCCCCUCGGACCCGGUCGCCUCCAGUAGGGACGCCCCGCGUCUCUGUAAGGUUGACCUCGGAUCAGGUAGGAAUACCCGCUGAACUUAA